AGCCGAGCGGUAGAGAUCUUUCGGGAUCUUGAGAGCGGCGUACGGGUGCCGAACACGUUGUGCAACCUGCCUUUAUCUGGGGGAUAGCCUUUCGAAAGGAAGAUUAAUACCCCAUAAUAUACUGGAUGGCAUCAUUCGGUAUUGAAAACUCCGGUGGAUAGAGAAGGGCACGCGCAAGAUUAGAUAGUUGGUGAGGUAACGGCUCACCAAGUCUGCGAUCUUUAGGGGGCCUGAGAGGGUGAUCCCCCACACUGGUACUGAGACACGGACCAGACUCCUACGGGAGGCAGCAGUGAGGAAUAUUGGACAAUGGGUGAGAGCCUGAUCCAGCCAUCCCGCGUGAAGGACGACGGCCCUAUGGGUUGUAAACUUCUUUUGUAUAGGGAUAAACCUACCCUCGUGAGGGUAGCUGAAGGUACUAUACGAAUAAGCACCGGCUAACUCCGUGCCAGCAGCCGCGGUAAUACGGAGGGUGCAAGCGUUAUCCGGAUUUAUUGGGUUUAAWGGGUCCGUAGGCGGAUCUGUAAGUCAGUGGUGAAAUCUCACAGCUUAACUGUGAAACAGCCAUUGAUACUGCAGGUCUUGAGUGUUGUUGAAGUAGCUGGAAUAAGUAGUGUAGCGGUGAAAUGCAUAGAUAUUACUUAGAACACCAAUUGCGAAGGCAGGUUACUAAGCAACAACUGACGYUGAUGGACGAAAGCGUGGGGAGCGAACAGGAUUAGACUACCYUGKUACGUCCACGCCGUAAAGGAUGCUAACUCGUUUYUGGAGCGCAAGYUUCAGAGACUAAGCGAAAGUGAUAAGUUAGCCACCUGGGGAGUACGAACGCAAGUUUGAAACUCAAAGGAAUUGACGGGGGCCCGCACAAGCGGUGGAUUAUGUGGUUUAAUUCGAUGAUACGCGAGGAACCUUACCAAGGCUUAAAUGGGAAAUGACAGGUUUAGAAAUAGACUUUUCUUCGGACAUUUUUCAAGGUGCUGCAUGGUUGUCGUCAGCUCGUGCCGUGAGGUGUUAGGUUAAGUCCUGCAACGAGCGCAACCCCUGUCACUAGUUGCCAUCAUUAAGUUGGGGACUCUAGUGAGACUGCCUACGCAAGUAGAGAGGAAGGUGGGGAUGACGUCAAAUCAUCACGGCCCUUACGCCUUGGGCCACACACGUAAUACAAUGGCCGGUACAGAGGGCAGCUACACUGCGAAGUGAUGCAAAUCUCGAAAGCCGGUCUCAGUUCGGAUUGGAGUCUGCAACUCGACUCUAUGAAGCUGGAAUCGCUAGUAAUCGCGCAUCAGCCAUGGCGCGGUGAAUACGUUCCCGGGCCUUGUACACACCGCCCGUCAAGCCAUGGAAGUCUGGGGUA
Molecule: ribosomal RNA, 1354 nt
Filed under: Chryseobacterium sp. UIWRF0430
Lineage: Bacteria; Pseudomonadati; Bacteroidota; Flavobacteriia; Flavobacteriales; Weeksellaceae
Description: bacterial SSU rRNA
Rfam family: Bacterial small subunit ribosomal RNA
Source: RNAcentral